CAACAUCUAAACGUGUACCCAGGGACAGCUCUCUGCCUUAAUCAGAGAAACUUCUCCUCACAGUGAUCAGCAGUGAGUGCAGAGUCAUAGCUGCCCAGGAUGCAGAGGGCUUUACAAGCUUCCUGAUGGAAGAAGACACCACCACCACUUCUGAAGUCAUCCUGGCACUAUGCCUCCCCAAGAUCACAUGGUUUCCAGCUCUGGCUGCUUAUCUGCCCCACAAGAAUACAAGCAUCAGAAUCCAGAUCAUGAAUUGAGUCCUGGUUCAAAUAGAUUUUUAAGGAAUCACCACAGGGGCUAAGGAGGUUGUUUGAUACGAAAACUGACCCAGAACGAGAUUAAGUGGCCUGUCCCACGUCUCGAGGGAGAUGGGAGUUGAGGUAACUUCCGACGCUGGUCUCCUCUCAUUUACUGUACCACUGCGCCCCCUCGUGG
Long non-coding RNA from Peromyscus californicus insignis, 435 nucleotides. RefSeq lists it as uncharacterized. Lineage: Eukaryota; Metazoa; Chordata; Mammalia; Rodentia; Cricetidae. The transcript is spliced from 3 exons. The record is from RefSeq and is a predicted model, not a curated record.